Molecule: long non-coding RNA, 679 nt
Organism: Stylophora pistillata
Lineage: Eukaryota; Metazoa; Cnidaria; Anthozoa; Scleractinia; Pocilloporidae
Source: RefSeq, a predicted model, not a curated record
AAACUUCACCACUAAACAUCAAAGCAUGAAACCUGGAGCAGGACAGCCUGGAGUAGAAAAGCUCAGAACGGAGUCCAUUUUUAAGGUGGCAGUUGCCUUCGAGAAAAUUGUUCUUAGGUAUGGCAAAUACCAUUUACGUGAAACAAACCGUUCAAAAAGGAUCAGUUACCCUCACCGCAACAUGCUCCUUGUUAUUCAAAAAGACUACAAACAAAAUGCAAGUGACUUCCAAUUAGAGAAUCAUGAAUGGCAAGCCUAUAUCAAUAUUUCCUCUGCAAAUUUUGCAGAUAACGGUUUGUAUACACCGCCGUUAUCUUUUAUCGUAAGUAACUCGUCGCACUUUCUUGUAUACCAUUCUUAAUAAAACACAAUCUUUUCAAAUUUACAUCAGCCGACAUCUAAGCUACACGUAAGCUUGCUUUGCUCUCUUUUAGGAUCAGUAAUAGUUGUGUGUGUGUACAAGGAUCUACAUAAUUUACUCCAACCAAAUUUUGACAAAACAAGGCGUGUGUUAACUAGAAUUAUAAUGGCAGCUAUGGAUCCCAAACCAGGAAAGAUGCAAGAGAAUGUAAUCUUGAAGUUUAAAAACUUGAAGAUCGACACAAGAGAGAAGCAUUGCGUGUUCUGGAGUGGCCUCAGCAAUAGGUAAAACAGGACAACAACUAAAAACAAAAAAAAA